UCGAAAACCCCUGCGCUAAAUAAUUAGUAGCAAGCUACACUGGUGGGUGAAAGCGAGGAGUAGGCAAAAGUUUGGUAGAUGCAUAUGUACGGUAUAAAUGUAAAUAAAAACAGAACAGAUGUGUGAAAGGGAGAAAAUUGAAAGAUAUUACGUUUGAUUUGAGUGAUUGGAUGAGACUGCAAAAUUAAGGAAAGUGAAUUAAGAAACGGAGAAGAUUUAUAAGAUCGGUUGAGUAUUUACGGUAGGAGAAUUGAAUUUAAGUGGUUUCGAAUACAAUACAUAAUCACGAAGAAACCCUAUAGCAACGAAACCUGUAAAUAGAUCAGAAGAGGAGAAACUAUAGAAUUUUCAAGCUGCUGUAACCCUAAACACUGCUGUGG
This is a long non-coding RNA of Armigeres subalbatus, 380 nucleotides long. RefSeq lists it as uncharacterized. Lineage: Eukaryota; Metazoa; Arthropoda; Insecta; Diptera; Culicidae. The transcript is spliced from 3 exons. The record is from RefSeq and is a predicted model, not a curated record.